Molecule: long non-coding RNA, 938 nt
Organism: Bos taurus (domestic cattle)
Lineage: Eukaryota; Metazoa; Chordata; Mammalia; Artiodactyla; Bovidae
Source: Ensembl
GAGACUGAAAGCCUGCUGACGUGAGCAGCAUGGUAAAGAGCACUGGCAGCCUCAACAUAAAAGAGGCUCCCAGCUGACAACCAGGAAAGAAACGGGACUUCACCCUUCAGCCUCGAGGAAUGAGAUUCUAUCCCCAACCUGAGUGAGCCGGGAAGUGACUUCUCCCCCCAAGACUCCAGAUAAGGGCCCAGGCUAACCACCAUCUUGAUUUCACCUUGUGCAACCUGGAGCCAAGGAAUCAGUCAGACCCACAGGACUUCUGACUUGCAGAAGUGAGAGUAACCUGCACCUCUUGGCCCUGAAGAUGAUGGCCCAGCAUCAAAUCAACAGGAAGGACACUGAGGUGAUGAUGAUGGAGAUGAGCGUCAGUGUGUGCAAGUGGGAAGAUGUUCAUGCGAGUCUUCUCAAAAAGGAUUCUCCAGGCAAGACUACUGGAGUGGGUUGCCAUGCCCUCCUCCAGGGUAUCCUCCCAACCCAGGGAUCGAACGCAGGUCUGCUGCAUUGCAGGUGGAUUCUUUACCAUCUAAGCCACCAGGAAAACCCAAGAAUUCUGGAGCAUUGGACACCUGCCAAUAACAUGUCCCAGAACUCCUUACCAGCAGGCUUCCUUUCAGAUUAUGCCAAGGAAAAACACCUAGUAGCAAAACCCCUGGCCAUCAAUAGGCACAUGCUUGGCCUUCAGAAAAUAGCCAGCAGGAGGUUUUACAGCAGUUAGUGAUGGUUCUGUGAAUCAUUUAUUUUGAUGCUUCUGGCUACCAUGAUCGCUGACAAGAGUUUCCAAUUAUCUCUGCCACUUUCUGAUUUCCCAGCUAACAGCUUCUCUUGACUCUUACCUCCUUUGUCAUAUGGUGCAGUUCCCUAUUUCAAAUCUGCUCCUGCUUAAAAUGCCUAAGAUCUUUGUUUUCUGAUCAAACCAUGCCUUAUACAAUGUUUUAUUU